Molecule: long non-coding RNA, 2002 nt
Organism: Lycium barbarum (goji berry)
Lineage: Eukaryota; Viridiplantae; Streptophyta; Magnoliopsida; Solanales; Solanaceae
Exons: 5
Source: RefSeq, a predicted model, not a curated record
CAUCUAAAUUUAACUAUAAAACAUCUAUAUUUCACUACAAACACACAACCAUCACAAAAUUGUUGUAACAGGUAACCUCAGUUGUUGGAAAACAUCAACAAAAUUGCAAGCCUUUUUUUUCGAAACAACAAGGAGAAGAAGAACAAAAACAGCACCAAAAAUCAUAAUUUCACAACCACAACCACUAUUUACAAACUCACAAACCCCAACAAGUGCAACAAAUACAUGAAACUACAACAAAACAAACAACAUUCAAGAAAAACUCAUGCUCUUCUUCAUCUUCUCUAACCAAAAUCUUCAUUUUCACACUCUGAUUUCAAAACCCUAACUUUUGAACCAAGUGAAAAAAAAAGUUUACCUGAGAAUGAAUAGACAAGCAACAGCAGUGGAGAGAGAGAGAAAUGAGCAGCAGCAGCAAUGGAGAGAGAGGAACGAGCAACAACAAUGGUGGUCACCGGUCGCCGAUUUUUUACAGCAGCAACGGAGAGAGAGAGACAGAGAUGAACUGAAGAACUGCUCUUUUUUAAAAAAAAAAAAAAUGAAGUAGUUGGGGUCGUGGCGGAAGUGGGUUGGAAGGAAUUUUUGUAUAAUGUGUGUGGGUUGGAAGAAGUUUUUGUAUAAUGUGUAUGGACUUUUGUGUAUUUUGUAAAAGAUUAUAAGUUUUAAAAAUUAUAAUUCAAUCCCAAUUUAAGUUAAUCAUAUUUUUAAGACAAGUUUGACCAUGACACCAUUUCUAAUUAUAAGACUUUUUUGUCACCAUAAGUUAAAUCUUCCCAGAUUCAUAGUCAUUCUCUCCUCUUACGUUCUAUUGCGUUCAAAUAACUGGACUCUGCUCUCUCUUCUACCCUUUCAAAGUUUCAUGGAAAACUGAGGUAUUGAAAAUGACUUAAAUUUUGAAGUAGACUAUGCACAGAAGGUGUUUGAUGAUCUGUCUGUCACUGUAAAUCUGAAUUUUUUUACCAUGGCCAUCGUCAAUUGUACCUAUGUCAAUAAUUUUCUGGUUUGCUCAUGCAUAUUUCUGGAUACCUAGGUGCAAGCUUGGUGGAGAACUUAAAGCUGCAACUCUCCUACAGACUACAACAAAGUGGCAAACUGGAUUAUUUUUUGAUGACAACUUCAGGCAUUAUGGAACUUGGGAGCCAAAUAAGAUUAAAUAGAAGAAUUCUCAAUUGCGCCACAAAUUGGAAGAACUAAUUGUUGGAUCCAAAAUUGUAAGUGUAAUAGCUAUUCUUACUGGUAAAAGAAAGAGUGAGAAACUUGGCAAAGUUUCUCUAUCAUUGGGUUCAGCUAGAGAUAGUUGGUCUGGAUAAUUCAGGCAUAGCUGCUACAAGGGUUGUUCUUGCUUGGGAUGCUUCAGUUUGGUAAAUGGUUAACAUGAAAAUUUGGGACCAAUACUAGAGAGUUGUCUUUAGCUGGAAUUCUUCCCUCAAGCAGUGCAGUAAUGGUUACAACCCAGGCGAGUAGUUGUGGUCGCGAAACAAGUUGAGGUUUUUAUAAAAGAAUUUUUAUCAGAGCUGGCUGCAGGAGUGCUCGAGUUAUGGAGUUAGAUUGUCAUGUUGUCUGUCGGCUCAUAUCAAAGUGAUGAGGGGCAAGCAAAAGUUCUAUUUCUUUGAUAAAGUGGAAAGCUCUGGAUUGCAAUCAUUGCAAGAAAAAAACAUUUCCUUAAGCUUUGAAUUGGUUGACUAGGUCACCAUUAUGUGUUAUUUUAGACAUUUUCUUGCUGGGUGAUGAAGUGAUUGUAACAUGGACAAGGCAAACACGUGUCUCCAAGUAGUUGGGCAUAUAAUGGCCACAGAUAAAUUUAGUAGUAUUGAUUCUUAUGGCGGUAGAAUAUUGUUCCUUGGAUUGCAGUGAUGUUGACAUAAUUUAGUUCUGAUGGCUUAAUUAUCCUGUAACAAUUCAUUCGUUUAUUCACAUUUGGUACCCCAGGAACUGAUAUGCCCCGUCUUUUCCAACAUCUUAGAAGCCGAAGUUAAGAGGCAUAUCCAAACUUACUUAGGUG